ACGGGUGAGUAACACGUGGGUAAUCUGCCUUUGGGUGGGGAAUAACGAUCCGAAAGGGUCGCUAAUACCGCAUAACGCAGCGGCACCGCAUGGUGACAGUUGUUAAAGCGGGGGAUCGAAAGACCUCGCGCCUGAAGAGGAGCCCGCGCCCGAUUAGCUUGUUGGUGAGGUAAUGGCUCACCAAGGCUUCGAUCGGUAGCCGGCCUGAGAGGGCGGUCGGCCACACUGGCACUGAGACACGGGCCAGACUCCUACGGGAGGCAGCAGUGGGGAAUUUUGGGCAAUGGGCGAAAGCCUGACCCAGCAACGCCGCGUGAAGGACGAAAUCCCUCUGGGAUGUAAACUCCGAAAGUCAGGAAAGAAAUCGAGUGGGGUAAUAUCCCGCUUGGAUGACGGUACCUGACGUAAGCCCCGGCUAACUACGUGCCAGCAGCCGCGGUAAUACGUAGGGGGCAAGCGUUGUUCGGAAUUACUGGGCGUAAAGGGCGCGUAGGCGGCACAGCAAGUCGGGAGUGAAAGCCCGGGGCUCAACCCCGGAACUGCUUUCGAAACUGCUGAGCUAGAGUGCAGAAGGGGCAACUGGAA
This 585-nucleotide ribosomal RNA is filed under the name uncultured bacterium. RNAcentral's name for it is "bacterial SSU rRNA". It matches the Rfam family "Bacterial small subunit ribosomal RNA", at positions 102 to 666 of the family's 1533-position model. The record is from RNAcentral.